RNAcentral lists this non-coding RNA (30 nucleotides) under Rattus norvegicus (Norway rat). The record is from RNAcentral. Lineage: Eukaryota; Metazoa; Chordata; Mammalia; Rodentia; Muridae.
UCCCAUCCUGUGUGCUCAGGGGAACUUGGU